RNAcentral lists this ribosomal RNA (1331 nucleotides) under Arthrobacter sp. C6. Its description in RNAcentral is "bacterial SSU rRNA". It matches the Rfam family "Bacterial small subunit ribosomal RNA", at positions 28 to 1372 of the family's 1533-position model. The record is from RNAcentral. Lineage: Bacteria; Bacillati; Actinomycetota; Actinomycetes; Micrococcales; Micrococcaceae.
GAUGAACGCUGGCGGCGUGCUUAACACAUGCAAGUCGAACGAUGAUCCCAGCUUGCUGGGGGAUUAGUGGCGAACGGGUGAGUAACACGUGAGUAACCUGCCCUUGACUCUGGGAUAAGCCUGGGAAACUGGGUCUAAUACCGGAUAUGACUCCUCAUCGCAUGGUGGGGGGUGGAAAGCUUUUGUGGUUUUGGAUGGACUCGCGGCCUAUCAGCUUGUUGGUGGGGUAAUGGCCUACCAAGGCGACGACGGGUAGCCGGCCUGAGAGGGUGACCGGCCACACUGGGACUGAGACACGGCCCAGACUCCUACGGGAGGCAGCAGUGGGGAAUAUUGCACAAUGGGCGCAAGCCUGAUGCAGCGACGCCGCGUGAGGGAUGACGGCCUUCGGGUUGUAAACCUCUUUCAGUAGGGAAGAAGCGAAAGUGACGGUACCUGCAGAAGAAGCGCCGGCUAACUACGUGCCAGCAGCCGCGGUAAUACGUAGGGCGCAAGCGUUAUCCGGAAUUAUUGGGCGUAAAGAGCUCGUAGGCGGUUUGUCGCGUCUGCUGUGAAAGACCGGGGCUCAACUCCGGUUCUGCAGUGGGUACGGGCAGACUAGAGUGAUGUAGGGGAGACUGGAAUUCCUGGUGUAGCGGUGAAAUGCGCAGAUAUCAGGAGGAACACCGAUGGCGAAGGCAGGUCUCUGGGCAUUAACUGACGCUGAGGAGCGAAAGCAUGGGGAGCGAACAGGAUUAGAUACCCUGGUAGUCCAUGCCGUAAACGUUGGGCACUAGGUGUGGGGGACAUUCCACGUUUUCCGCGCCGUAGCUAACGCAUUAAGUGCCCCGCCUGGGGAGUACGGCCGCAAGGCUAAAACUCAAAGGAAUUGACGGGGGCCCGCACAAGCGGCGGAGCAUGCGGAUUAAUUCGAUGCAACGCGAAGAACCUUACCAAGGCUUGACAUGAACCGGUAAUACCUGGAAACAGGUGCCCCGCUUGCGGUCGGUUUACAGGUGGUGCAUGGUUGUCGUCAGCUCGUGUCGUGAGAUGUUGGGUUAAGUCCCGCAACGAGCGCAACCCUCGUUCUAUGUUGCCAGCGCGUUAUGGCGGGGACUCAUAGGAGACUGCCGGGGUCAACUCGGAGGAAGGUGGGGACGACGUCAAAUCAUCAUGCCCCUUAUGUCUUGGGCUUCACGCAUGCUACAAUGGCCGGUACAAAGGGUUGCGAUACUGUGAGGUGGAGCUAAUCCCAAAAAGCCGGUCUCAGUUCGGAUUGGGGUCUGCAACUCGACCCCAUGAAGUCGGAGUCGCUAGUAAUCGCAGAUCAGCAACGCUGCGGUGAAUACGUU